GUGGAUCCUGUGAACUGCAGGACACAUGAACACCGACAAGUUGAACGCAUAUUGCACAUCGUACCACAGUACGAUGUACACAUUUUUGAGUGCCUAUAUUUAUCGAUACAACUAUACGUGUGCGUGCGCGUCCCACUGCGGGGUGGACAGGUGCACGGCCCAUGGCACGUAUGCGUAGUGAUGUUUUCCCUCCCGCCCCGGGCUCGCGGUAAAACAUUUAAGAUAGUCAUCCGGCUGUGUGGCGGGCACGGUUGAUGAAGAUAACCCAUACCCGCCUCGGUGCCGGCGUGGCUGUGUUGUAUUCCAUUUUCUACGAUCAUAAAACCCAGUAGGCCGCAAAUAAUGAGUGACUACCCCCCCCAUAAAUUCAUAUCGACAC
Molecule: ribosomal RNA, 379 nt
Filed under: Culicidae sp. PSI-39_Hw
Lineage: Eukaryota; Metazoa; Arthropoda; Insecta; Diptera; Culicidae
Description: eukaryotic LSU rRNA
Rfam family: 5.8S ribosomal RNA (bases 1-95)
Source: RNAcentral